RNAcentral lists this ribosomal RNA (382 nucleotides) under uncultured bacterium. RNAcentral's name for it is "bacterial SSU rRNA". It matches the Rfam family "Bacterial small subunit ribosomal RNA", at positions 518 to 898 of the family's 1533-position model. The record is from RNAcentral.
CGGUAAUACGGGGGAUGCAAGCGUUGUUCGGAAUUAUUGGGCGUAAAGAGCGUGUAGGCGGCCGGAUGUGUCAGAUGUGAAAGCCCUGGGCUUAACUCAGGAAGUGCAUUUGAAACUGUCCGGCUUGAGUAGGGGAGAGGGAAGUGGAAUUCCUGGUGUAGAGGCGAAAUUCGUAGAUAUCAGGAGGAACACCGGUGGCGAAGGCGACUUCCUGGCCCUAUACUGACGCUGAGACGCGAGAGCGUGGGUAGCAAACAGGAUUAGAUACCCUGGUAGUCCACGUCGUAAACGAUGUUCACUAGGUGUUGGGGGUAUUGACCCCCUCAGUGCCGGAGCUAACGCAUUAAGUGAACCGCCUGGGGAGUACGGUCGCAAGACUAAA